UGGUAACAUGUUCAGCUUGGCAGUACUAAUAGGCCGAGGGCUUGACCAU
RNAcentral lists this ribosomal RNA (49 nucleotides) under Acutalibacter sp. 1XD8-33. Its description in RNAcentral is "partial 23S ribosomal RNA". The record is from RNAcentral. Lineage: Bacteria; Bacillati; Bacillota; Clostridia; Eubacteriales; Acutalibacteraceae.